CACGUAGGGUGCGAGCGUUGUCCGGAAUUAUUGGGCGUAAAGAGCUCGUAGGCGGUGUGUCGCGUCGGCCGUGAAAACCUGCAGCUUAACUGUGGGCUUGCGGUCGAUACGGGCAUCACUGGAGUUCGGCAGGGGAGACUGGAAUUCCUGGUGUAGCGGUGAAAUGCGCAGAUAUCAGGAGGAACACCGGUGGCGAAGGCGGCAUCCUGGACCGACAUUGACGCUGAACGGCGAAAGCUAGGGGAGCAAACGGG
RNAcentral lists this ribosomal RNA (254 nucleotides) under uncultured bacterium. Its description in RNAcentral is "partial 16S ribosomal RNA". It matches the Rfam family "Bacterial small subunit ribosomal RNA", at positions 524 to 776 of the family's 1533-position model. The record is from RNAcentral.